RNAcentral lists this ribosomal RNA (497 nucleotides) under uncultured bacterium. RNAcentral's name for it is "partial 16S ribosomal RNA". It matches the Rfam family "Bacterial small subunit ribosomal RNA", at positions 28 to 507 of the family's 1533-position model. The record is from RNAcentral.
GAUGAACGCUGGCGGCGUGCCUAAUACAUGCAAGUCGAGCGAACGGACGAGAAGCUUGCUUCUCUGAUGUUAGCGGCGGACGGGUGAGUAACACGUGGAUAACCUACCUAUAAGACUGGGAUAACUUCGGGAAACCGGAGCUAAUACCGGAUAAUAUUUUGAACCGCAUGGUUCAAAAGUAAAAGACGGUCUUGCUGUCACUUAUAGAUGGAUCCGCGCUGCAUUAGCUAGUUGGUAAGGUAACGGCUUACCAAGGCAACGAUGCAUAGCCGACCUGAGAGGGUGAUCGGCCACACUGGAACUGAGACACGGUCCAGACUCCUACGGGAGGCAGCAGUAGGGAAUCUUCCGCAAUGGGCGAAAGCCUGACGGAGCAACGCCGCGUGAGUGAUUAAGGUCUUCGGAUCGUAAAACUCUGUUAUUAGGGAAGAACAUAUGUGUAAGUAACUGUGCACAUCUUGACGGUACCUAAUCAGAAAGCCACGGCUAACUACGUG